Molecule: ribosomal RNA, 403 nt
Filed under: uncultured bacterium
Lineage: Bacteria
Description: bacterial SSU rRNA
Rfam family: Bacterial small subunit ribosomal RNA
Source: RNAcentral
UCGGGAAUUUUGCUCAAUGGGCGCAAGCCUGAAGCAGCAACGCCGCGUGAGGGAUGAAGGCCUUCGGGUCGUAAACCUCUUUUUCCGGGGACGAUGAUGACGGUACCCGGUGAAUAAGCCACGGCUAACUACGUGCCAGCAGCCGCGGUAAUACGUAGGUGGCGAGCGUUGUCCGGAUUUACUGGGCGUAAAGAGCGCGCAGGCGGCCUGAUCAGUCGAAUGUGAAAGCCCCCGGCUCAACUGGGGAGGGUCAUUCGAUACUGUCAGGCUAGAAGGCAGGAGAGGGAAGUGGAAUUCCCGGUGUAGUGGUGAAAUGCGUAGAUAUCGGGAGGAACACCAGUGGCGAAGGCGACUUUCUGGCCUGUUCUUGACGCUGAGGCGCGAAAGCCAGGGGAGCGAACGG